AAGUCGUAACAAGGUCUCCGUAGGGGAACCUGCGGAGGGAUCAUUUCCAUUAAAAAAAUUGAGGGGGCUUGGGGGGUCUUAUUGGCCUCUUGCGUUUUCCUUAAUAAAGUUGGUUGUGUUUCUUUCUAUCAAAACUGAUAUGAAAAAAGGUUGAGGAGGAAUAUUGGGGUUUUAUAAUACCCCAACGUUCUUUUCUUUCCUUUCUUUCAUAUUCAGGUUUGUUUUAAAAACUGUAAUCAAAGCAUCCUUAACUUGAUUGUUGCUUAUUUUAAAAAAGAUACAACUAUCAACGGCGGAUCUCUUGGUUCGU
Molecule: unclassified non-coding RNA, 310 nt
Filed under: fungal sp.
Lineage: Eukaryota; Fungi
Description: partial internal transcribed spacer region
Rfam family: Eukaryotic small subunit ribosomal RNA (bases 1-46)
Source: RNAcentral